UCCCUGUUGCCAGGGCAGUCUAGCUAGAGAAAUUCAACUAACUAUAAGGGUUGCGCUCGUUGAUGGACUUAACCAAACAUCUCACGACACGAGCUGACGACGGCCAUGCAGCACCUGUCACUGCGCUCAAUAAAGCACUCUCUCCUUUCGGAGAAAUUCGCAGGAUGUCAAACCUGGGUAAGGUUCUUCGCUUACCGUCGAAUUAAACAACACGCUCCACCGCUUGUGCGGGUCCCCGUCAAUUCCUUUAUGUUUUAAGCUUGCGCUCGUACUCCACAGGCGGGAUGCUUAACGCGUUAGCUUCGCUACUACAAGGGUCGAUACUCGUAACAGCUAGCAUCCAUAGUUUACGGCGUGGACUAC
Molecule: unclassified non-coding RNA, 363 nt
Filed under: uncultured bacterium
Lineage: Bacteria
Description: contains 16S-23S intergenic spacer region
Source: RNAcentral